This 468-nucleotide ribosomal RNA is filed under the name uncultured bacterium. RNAcentral describes it as "partial 16S ribosomal RNA". It matches the Rfam family "Bacterial small subunit ribosomal RNA", at positions 28 to 507 of the family's 1533-position model. The record is from RNAcentral.
GACGAACGCUGGCGGCGUGCUUAACGCAUGCAAGUCGAACGGAAAGGCCCUGCUUUUGUGGGGUGCUCGAGUGGCGAACGGGUGAGUAACACGUGAGUAACCUGCCCUUGACUUUGGGAUAACUUCAGGAAACUGGGGCUAAUACCGGAUAGGAGCUCCUGCUGCAUGGUGGGGGUUGGAAAGUUUCGGCGGUUGGGGAUGGACUCGCGGCUUAUCAGCUUGUUGGUGGGGUAGUGGCUUACCAAGGCUUUGACGGGUAGCCGGCCUGAGAGGGUGACCGGCCACAUUGGGACUGAGAUACGGCCCAGACUCCUACGGGAGGCAGCAGGGGGGAAUAUUGCACAAUGGGCGGAAGCCUGAUGCAGCAACGCCGCGUGCGGGAUGACGGCCUUCGGGUUGUAAACCGCUUUCGCCUGUGACGAAGCGUGAGUGACGGUAAUGGGUAAAGAAGCACCGGCUAACUACGUG